This 521-nucleotide ribosomal RNA is filed under the name uncultured Sphingobacterium sp. RNAcentral's name for it is "bacterial SSU rRNA". It matches the Rfam family "Bacterial small subunit ribosomal RNA", at positions 9 to 521 of the family's 1533-position model. The record is from RNAcentral. Lineage: Bacteria; Pseudomonadati; Bacteroidota; Sphingobacteriia; Sphingobacteriales; Sphingobacteriaceae.
GAGUUUGAUCAUGGCUCAGGAUGAACGCUAGCGGCAGGCUUAAUACAUGCAAGUCGUGGGGCAGCAUGAGUGUAGCAAUACAUUUGAUGGCGACCGGCAAACGGGUGCGGAACACGUACACAACCUUCCUUUAAGCGGGGAAUAGCCCGGGGAAACCCGGAUUAAUACCCCAUAGUAUGGUGAAGAGGCAUCUCGUUUAUUAUUAAAGAUUUAUCACUUAAAGAUGGGUGUGCGGCUGAUUAGGUAGUUGGCGGGGUAACGGCCCACCAAGCCUACGAUCAGUAACUGGUAUGAGAGCACGACCAGUCACACGGGCACUGAGACACGGGCCCGAUCCUACGGGAGGCAGGCAGUAAGGAAUAUUGGGUCAAUGGACGAAAGUCUGAACCAGCCAUGCCGCGUGGAGGAUGAAGGUCCUCUGGAUUGUAAACUUCUUUAUAUGGGACGAAAAAGGCCUUUCCAGGUCGUCUGACGGUACCAUAUGAAUAAGCACCGGCUAACUCCGUGCCAGCCGCCGCCGU